AGGGGGAGUAACAUCCGGAAACGGGUGCUAAUACCGCAUAGUUUCUUGAUCGCAUGAUUGAGAAAGGAAAGACGGCCUUUGUGCUGUCGCUUAUGGAUGGACCCGCGGCGUAGUUAGUUAGUUGGUGAGGUAAUGGCUCACCAAGACGAUGAUACGUAGCCGACCUGAGAGGGUGAUCGGCCACAUUGGGACUGAGACACGGCCCAAACUCCUACGGGAGGCAGCAGUAGGGAAUCUUCCGCAAUGGACGAAAGUCUGACGGAGCAACGCCGCGUGAGUGAAGAAAGGUUUUCGGAUCGUAAAACUCUGUUGUCAGAGAAGAACAAGUUGGAGAGUAACUGCUCCAGCCUUGACGGUAUCUGACCAGAAAGCCACGGCUAACUACGUGCCAGCCGCCGC
This 399-nucleotide ribosomal RNA is filed under the name uncultured bacterium. RNAcentral describes it as "bacterial SSU rRNA". It matches the Rfam family "Bacterial small subunit ribosomal RNA", at positions 135 to 518 of the family's 1533-position model. The record is from RNAcentral.